CUGCGUUUAAACCAGUCAG
This 19-nucleotide non-coding RNA is filed under the name Arabidopsis thaliana (thale cress). Lineage: Eukaryota; Viridiplantae; Streptophyta; Magnoliopsida; Brassicales; Brassicaceae. The record is from RNAcentral.